CAGUCGUACCUGCGGAUAAUCAGCUUUUUGAGUGUGAUUAUGUGGUUUAUGAGGAGUUUAACCGCCUUCAUGUAUUGCAUAUUUGUGCUCUUGGGUGUACUUGUCUGUGUGGUAGGUUAACAUCUAAUUUUGGUCGUCAAUAAAAUGUAUUGGAGGAAUGUAGCUUUGAUCUCGUAUCGAAG
Molecule: ribosomal RNA, 182 nt
Filed under: Glomus sp. (unid)
Lineage: Eukaryota; Fungi; Glomeromycota; Glomeromycetes; Glomerales; Glomeraceae
Source: RNAcentral